Molecule: long non-coding RNA, 405 nt
Filed under: Ananas comosus (pineapple)
Lineage: Eukaryota; Viridiplantae; Streptophyta; Magnoliopsida; Poales; Bromeliaceae
Description: long non-coding RNA (ACOM_LNC017288)
Source: RNAcentral
CUAUUAUACCUUAAGCCUCCGUUUGGUUCGGGGUUAAGGAAAAAGUAGCUAUUCCAGGGAUAGGGUUAAGUUCAGGGUUAAAGUUUUUUUUGUGUUUGGUUGGAGGUUGGAGUUAGUAUAGGAUAGUGAAAAAAAUGUUUGGUUGGAGUAGGUGGGAUAAGAAGAUAAUGAUUGAUAAAGAAAAAAAAGGUGAGGGCUCGGGAUGCGUGCGGGGUUAAAGUUGAGAGGGGGAGUAGGGUUAAUGAUUGAUAAAGAAGAAAAAGGUGAGGGCUCGGGAUGCGUGCGGGGUUAAAGUUGGGAGGGGGAGUGGGGUUAGUAAACCCCACUAACCCGGGUUAGUAAAGAGUGGUGUUUGGGUAUAAAUUGGGGGUUAAGGGGUUAUUCCACCCCUUAACCCCCAACCAA